GCUCCGGUAGCUCAGCCGAACAGAGCGCCGCCCUCCGAAGGCGGAGGUCGCUGGUUUGAAUCCAGCUCGGAGCGCCA
RNAcentral lists this transfer RNA (77 nucleotides) under Acidobacteriota bacterium. RNAcentral describes it as "Acidobacteria bacterium tRNA-Arg". It matches the Rfam family "tRNA". From Rfam's summary of the family: Transfer RNA (tRNA) molecules are approximately 80 nucleotides in length. Their secondary structure includes four short double-helical elements and three loops (D, anti-codon, and T loops). RNAcentral also lists the same sequence under 1 other name. Lineage: Bacteria; Pseudomonadati; Acidobacteriota. The record is from RNAcentral.